ACUCAAAUGAAUAGACGGGGGCCCGCACAAGCGGUGGAGCAUGUGGUUCAAUUCGACGCAACGCGAAGAACCUUACCCAGGCUUGAACAGCGAGUGACCACUUCCGAAAGGAAGCUUCCGCAAGGACACUCGUAGAGGUGCUGCAUGGCUGUCGUCAGCUCGUGUCGUGAGAUGUUGGGUUAAGUCCCGCAACGAGCGCAACCCUUGUCUACUGUUGCCAUCAGGUUAUGCUGGGCACUCUGUAGAGACUGCCGGUGAUAAACCGGAGGAAGGUGGGGAUGACGUCAAGUCAGCAUGGCCUUUAUGUCUGGGGCUACACACGUGCUACAAUGGCAGAUACAAACCGUCGCGAGACCGCAAGGUGGAGCUAAUCGGAGAAAGUCUGUCUCAGUUCGGAUCGUAGGCUGCAACUCGCCUGCGUGAAGUUGGAAUCGCUAGUAAUCGCGGAUCAGCACGCCGCGGUGAAUACGUUCCCGGGCCUUGUACACACCGCCCGU
Molecule: ribosomal RNA, 497 nt
Filed under: uncultured bacterium
Lineage: Bacteria
Description: partial 16S ribosomal RNA
Rfam family: Bacterial small subunit ribosomal RNA
Source: RNAcentral